UGGGGAAUAUUGCACAAUGGGCGCAAGCCUGAUGCAGCCAUGCCGCGUGUGUGAAGAAGGCCUUCGGGUUGUAAAGCACUUUCAGCGAGGAGGAAGGUGGUGAACUUAAUACGUUCAUCAAUUGACGUUACUCGCAGAAGAAGCACCGGCUAACUCCGUGCCAGCAGCCGCGGGUAAUACGGAGGGUGCAAGCGUUAAUCGGAAUUACUGGGCGUAAAGCGCACGCAGGCGGUUUGUUAAGUCAGAUGUGAAAUCCCCGGGCUCAACCUGGGAACUGCAUUGAAACUGGCAAGCUAGAGUCUCGUAGAGGGGGCAGAAUUCCAGGUGUAGGCGGUGAAAUGCGUAGAGAUCUGGAGGAAUACCGGUGGCGAAGGCGGCCCCCUGGA
This 386-nucleotide ribosomal RNA is filed under the name uncultured bacterium. RNAcentral describes it as "partial 16S ribosomal RNA". It matches the Rfam family "Bacterial small subunit ribosomal RNA", at positions 355 to 733 of the family's 1533-position model. The record is from RNAcentral.